Molecule: transfer RNA, 71 nt
Filed under: Loxodonta africana (African savanna elephant)
Lineage: Eukaryota; Metazoa; Chordata; Mammalia; Proboscidea; Elephantidae
Rfam family: tRNA
About the family: Transfer RNA (tRNA) molecules are approximately 80 nucleotides in length. Their secondary structure includes four short double-helical elements and three loops (D, anti-codon, and T loops).
Source: Rfam by way of RNAcentral
GCAGUGAUGGUUCAGUGGUAGAAUUCUCCCCUUCCAUGCAGGAGACCUGGGUUUGAUUCCUAGCCAAUGCA